CCUACGGGUGGCAGCAGUGGGGAAUAUUGCACAAUGGGCGCAAGCCUGAUGCAGCCAUGCCGCGUGUGUGAAGAAGGCCUUCGGGUUGUAAAGCACUUUCAGCGGGGAGGAAGGCGUUAAGGUUAAUAACCUUGGCGAUUGACGUUACCCGCAGAAGAAGCACCGGCUAACUCCGUGCCAGCAGCCGCGGUAAUACGGAGGGUGCAAGCGUUAAUCGGAAUCACUGGGCGUAAAGCGCACGCAGGCGGUCUGUCAAGUCGGAUGUGAAAUCCCCGGGCUCAACCUGGGAACUGCAUUCGAAACUGGCAGGCUAGAGUCUUGUAGAGGGGGGUAGAAUUCCAGGUGUAGCGGUGAAAUGCGUAGAGAUCUGGAGGAAUACCGGUGGCGAAGGCGGCCCCCUGGACAAAGACUGACGCUCAGGUGCGAAAGCGUGGGGAGCAAACAGGAUUAGAUACCCUUGUAGUC
Molecule: ribosomal RNA, 465 nt
Filed under: uncultured Klebsiella sp.
Lineage: Bacteria; Pseudomonadati; Pseudomonadota; Gammaproteobacteria; Enterobacterales; Enterobacteriaceae
Description: bacterial SSU rRNA
Rfam family: Bacterial small subunit ribosomal RNA
Source: RNAcentral